CGGGGUGAGUAACGUGUGGGCAACCUGCCCUGCACUGGGGAAUAAUCAUUGGAAACGAUGACUAAUACCGCAUACGGUUCCUGGGAGGCAUCUUCUGGGAAAGAAAGGAUUUAUUCGGUGCAGGAUGGGCCCGCAUCUGAUUAGCUAGUUGGUGAGAUAACAGCCCACCAAGGCGACGAUCAGUAGCCGACCUGAGAGGGUGACCGGCCACAUUGGGACUGAGACACGGCCCAAACUCCUACGGGAGGCAGCAG
This 254-nucleotide ribosomal RNA is filed under the name uncultured bacterium. RNAcentral describes it as "partial 16S ribosomal RNA". It matches the Rfam family "Bacterial small subunit ribosomal RNA", at positions 100 to 354 of the family's 1533-position model. The record is from RNAcentral.